GCGCCGGGAGGGAUCCCUCGUUCCGGAGCUGCGGGGCACCGCCGGCCCCGGGGCCGCACGGGCCAGCCUGUCCCGGGGGUGGGAGCGCGGAGCUGCAGCUCCACGCGCCGCGGAGCCCGGGCACGGCGCGGCUCCCCCCUCCCGCGCCCCAUCCUUCGUGCUGCCCGGUGUCGCCUAUGCUGCAGGCGGGCCCCGCCGCCCCCCCGUCACCCUCCAGGAGCAGGUGAGCCACUGACUAACGCACAUUGUGCUCUCGGCGACUCCACUGUGCGUGUGACAGCGGCUAACCUGCUCCUCGGACAUCACUGUGCGGCCGCCUCCCCUCCCCGGACCCGCGCCUCGAAGCCUCGACGCCCUCCUGCCCUCUCGGCCAGCCAGGUGAGGGGCUCCGGCGUGCCUAGGAGUCGGCUCCCCCAUCGUUCGCCACUGUCCUGCCUCCAGCGGUUGCCCAUGCUCGGCUCUGCGGACCCACGAUGCGCUGCCGGGAGUGCCCCAGGAUCGGCCGCACUCGUACACGGGAGCGCGAAAAGAUGGAGCACUCCUGCAGCGGGGCUCGGUGUGUCCGGCGGGAGCGGAGAUGGAGGGAACGGGCCGCCUCGGCAUCCCGGCGUUGGGGACUGUGCUGGCUGAUGAGUUAACCCCGGGAGAUGCCGCUGGCAGGAGCAGCUCUGCAGGUCGCCUGGUGAGGCCUGUCCCAGUUCCCAUGAGCAGCACCAUGGUAUGAAUGCUUCCGACUUCCUCCUGCCAAUGGAACCAUCCUGUUCAGCUCCAGUAAGCUAAAGGAAGGGGUUGAAGUGAAGUUUGUUUGGUUUUGCCUUUUUUGUGUGUGUCUCCAGUAAGCGGGGGGAGCAUCCAGCUCAAUUCCUGUUUUUAACAUUCUUCUGGCAUGAUUCAAAACUAACCUGCUGUGCUGUCACCUGAAGUCUUCAAUAAAUGUGCAAAACCA
Long non-coding RNA from Haemorhous mexicanus (house finch), 946 nucleotides. RefSeq lists it as uncharacterized. NCBI's taxonomy places the organism in Eukaryota, Metazoa, Chordata, Aves, Passeriformes, Fringillidae. The record is from RefSeq and is a predicted model, not a curated record. The transcript is spliced from 2 exons.